GACGAACGCUGGCGGCGUGCUUAACACAUGCAAGUCGAACGGAAAGGCCCUGCUUCUGUGGGGUGCUCGAGUGGCGAACGGGUGAGUAACACGUGAGUAACCUGCCCUUGACUUUGGGAUAACUUCAGGAAACAAGGGCUAAUACCGGAUAGGAGCUCCUGCUGCAUGGUGGGGGGUGGAAAGUUUCGGCGGGUGGGGAUGGACUCGCGGCUUAUCAGCUUGUUGGUGGGGUAGUGGCUUACCAAGGCUUUGACGGGUAGCCGGCCUGAGAGGGUGACCGGCCACAUUGGGACUGAGAUACGGCCCAGACUCCUACGGUAGGCAGCGGUGGGGAAUCUUGCACAAUGGGCGGAAGCCUGAUGCAGCAACGCCGCGUGCGGGAUGACGGCCUUCGGGUUGUAAACCGCUUUCGCCUGUGACGAAGCGUGAGUGACGGUAAUGGGUAAAGAAGCACCGGCUAACUACGUG
This 468-nucleotide ribosomal RNA is filed under the name uncultured bacterium. RNAcentral describes it as "partial 16S ribosomal RNA". It matches the Rfam family "Bacterial small subunit ribosomal RNA", at positions 28 to 507 of the family's 1533-position model. The record is from RNAcentral.